This 314-nucleotide ribosomal RNA is filed under the name Clostridium sporogenes. RNAcentral describes it as "bacterial SSU rRNA". It matches the Rfam family "Bacterial small subunit ribosomal RNA", at positions 1 to 312 of the family's 1533-position model. Lineage: Bacteria; Bacillati; Bacillota; Clostridia; Eubacteriales; Clostridiaceae. The record is from RNAcentral.
UUUAAAUUUAGAGUUUGAUCCUGGCUCAGGACGAACGCUGGCGGCGUGCUUAACACAUGCAAGUCGAGCGAUGAAGCUUUCUUCGGGAAGUGGAUUAGCGGCGGACGGGUGAGUAACACGUGGGUAACCUGCCUCAAAGUGGGGGAUAGCCUUCCGAAAGGAAGAUUAAUACCGCAUAAUAUAAGAUAAUCGCAUGAUUUUCUUAUCAAAGAUUUAUUGCUUUGAGAUGGACCCGCGGCGCAUUAGCUAGUUGGUAAGGUAAUGGCUUACCAAGGCAACGAUGCGUAGCCGACCUGAGAGGGUGAUCGGCCACA